CCUACGGGUGGCAGCAGUGGGGAAUAUUGCACAAUGGGCGCAAGCCUGAUGCAGCCAUGCCGCGUGUGUGAAGAAGGCCUUCGGGUUGUAAAGCACUUUCAGCGGGGAGGAAGGCGGUGAGGUUAAUAACCUCAUCGAUUGACGUUACCCGCAGGAGAAGCACCGGCUAACUCCGUGCCAGCAGCCGCGGUAAUACGGAGGGUGCAAGCGUUAAUCGGAAUUACUGGGCGUAAAGCGCACGCAGGCGGUCUGUCAAGUCGGAUGUGAAAUCCCUGGGCUCAACCUGGGAACUGCAUUCGAAACUGGCAGGCUAGAGUCUUGCAGAGGGGGGUAGAAUUCCAGGUGUAGCGGUGAAAUGCGUAGAGAUCUGGAGGAAUACCGGUGGCGAAGGCGGCCCCCUGGACAAAGACCGACGCUCAGGUGCGAAAGCGUGGGGAGCAAACAGGAUUAGAUACCCUAGUAGUC
Molecule: ribosomal RNA, 465 nt
Filed under: uncultured Klebsiella sp.
Lineage: Bacteria; Pseudomonadati; Pseudomonadota; Gammaproteobacteria; Enterobacterales; Enterobacteriaceae
Description: bacterial SSU rRNA
Rfam family: Bacterial small subunit ribosomal RNA
Source: RNAcentral